Molecule: ribosomal RNA, 416 nt
Filed under: uncultured Pseudomonadota bacterium
Lineage: Bacteria; Pseudomonadati; Pseudomonadota
Description: bacterial SSU rRNA
Rfam family: Bacterial small subunit ribosomal RNA
Source: RNAcentral
AGUGGGGAAUAUUGGACAAUGGGCGCAAGCCUGAUCCAGCAAUGCCGCGUGUGUGAAGAAGGCCUGUGGGUUGUAAAGCACUUUCAGGGGGGAGGAAAGGUCCGCAAGGAUUUUGACGUUACCCCCAGAAGAAGCACCGGCUAACUCUGUGCCAGCAGCCGCGGUAAUACAGAGGGUGCGAGCGUUAAUCGGAAUGACUGGGCGUAAAGCGCGCGUAGGCGGUUAUAUAAGUUGGGUGUGAAAUCCCUGGGCUCAACCUAGGAAUUGCAUUCAAAACUGUAUGACUUGAGUGAAGUAGAGGUGAGUGGAAUUUCCGGAGUAGCGGUGAAAUGCGUAGAUACCGGAAGGAACACCAGUGGCGAAGGCGACUCACUGGGCUUUAACUGACGCUGAGGUGCGAAAGCGUGGGGAGCAAA